This 301-nucleotide unclassified non-coding RNA is filed under the name Glomus sp. RNAcentral's name for it is "partial contains 5.8S ribosomal RNA, internal transcribed spacer 2, and large subunit ribosomal RNA". The stretch from base 1 to 71 matches the Rfam family "5.8S ribosomal RNA", at positions 84 to 154 of the family's 154-position model. The record is from RNAcentral. Lineage: Eukaryota; Fungi; Glomeromycota; Glomeromycetes; Glomerales; Glomeraceae.
GUGAAUCAUCAAAUUUUUGAACGCAAAUUGCACUUUCUGGUAUUCCGGAAUGUAUGCCUGUUUGAGGGUCAGUUAAAUAAAAAUCGGUUUUGUUGCUGCUUUUCGUGGUUACGCUUCGGAAUUGAGUUGUCUUACCUACGGUUAAGUGACUUAAAAUUUUUCAUGAUUUUCGAACGUAUUUAAAUUUCUUACGUACUUUUGAGAUAUCUAAUACUUUAUUAUGUUCUGUCAUCCUCAUGAUUCUCACCUAUAAUUUUUCAUUAACUUACCUUAAAUCAUGUAAGAAUACCCUCUGAACUUA